RNAcentral lists this ribosomal RNA (438 nucleotides) under Yersinia enterocolitica. Its description in RNAcentral is "bacterial SSU rRNA". It matches the Rfam family "Bacterial small subunit ribosomal RNA", at positions 52 to 479 of the family's 1533-position model. The record is from RNAcentral. Lineage: Bacteria; Pseudomonadati; Pseudomonadota; Gammaproteobacteria; Enterobacterales; Yersiniaceae.
CACAUGCAAGUCGAGCGGCAGCGGGAAGUAGUUUACUCCUUUGCCGGCGAGCGGCGGACGGGUGAGUAAUGUCUGGGAAACUGCCUGAUGGAGGGGGAUAACUACUGGAAACGGUAGCUAAUACCGCAUAACGUCUUCGGACCAAAGUGGGGGACCUUCGGGCCUCACGCCAUCGGAUGUGCCCAGAUGGGAUUAGCUAGUAGGUGGGGUAAUGGCUCACCUAGGCGACGAUCCCUAGCUGGUCUGAGAGGAUGACCAGCCACACUGGAACUGAGACACGGUCCAGACUCCUACGGGAGGCAGCAGUGGGGAAUAUUGCACAAUGGGCGCAAGCCUGAUGCAGCCAUGCCGCGUGUGUGAAGAAGGCCUUCGGGUUGUAAAGCACUUUCAGCGAGGAGGAAGGCAUAAAGGUUAAUAACCUUUGUGAUUGACGUUACU